GAUGAACGCUGGCGGCGUGCCUAAUACAUGCAAGUCGAGCGAACAGAUAAGGAGCUUGCUCCUUUGACGUUAGCGGCGGACGGGUGAGUAACACGUGGAUAACCUACCUAUAAGACUGGGAUAACUUCGGGAAACCGGAGCUAAUACCGGAUAACAUUUGGAACCGCAUGGUUCUAAAGUGAAAGAUGGUUUUGCUAUCACUUAUAGAUGGACCCGCGCCGUAUUAGCUAGUUGGUAAGGUAACGGCUUACCAAGGCGACGAUACGUAGCCGACCUGAGAGGGUGAUCGGCCACACUGGAACUGAGACACGGUCCAGACUCCUACGGGAGGCAGCAGUAGGGAAUCUUCCGCAAUGGGCGAAAGCCUGACGGAGCAACGCCGCGUGAGUGAUGAAGGGUUUCGGCUCGUAAAACUCUGUUAUUAGGGAAGAACAAAUGUGUAAGUAACUGUGCACAUCUUGACGGUACCUAAUCAGAAAGCCACGGCUAACUACGUGCCAGCCGCCGCCGUAA
This 513-nucleotide ribosomal RNA is filed under the name uncultured bacterium. RNAcentral's name for it is "partial 16S ribosomal RNA". It matches the Rfam family "Bacterial small subunit ribosomal RNA", at positions 28 to 523 of the family's 1533-position model. The record is from RNAcentral.